GGCCCUGUGAGUAGUAGUAGAUAAUGUACCAAUGUGCCAUGUAUAAUCUGACUGUGCUAGAUAGAAGGGGAUCUGUGGCACGCCAUAUAAAAGUGGAUUAUAGUAACUCCUUUGAACCAAUAAAUAGAGCAAUGGAGUCCAUGAGAUCCAUAAGGGUUUUAACAAACCUAAUAUACUGCUGAUGUGAGUGAAAAUCUGAAAUCGACAAGUAUACUGGCCCCC
RNAcentral lists this long non-coding RNA (222 nucleotides) under Elaeis guineensis (African oil palm). RNAcentral describes it as "long non-coding RNA (EGUI_LNC043068)". Lineage: Eukaryota; Viridiplantae; Streptophyta; Magnoliopsida; Arecales; Arecaceae. The record is from RNAcentral.